UCUCGAUUGGUCUAGUGGUAAGGAUACCUGCUUGUCAUGAUAAGAAAUUCGCAGGUGGCCGGGGUUCGAUUCCCCGAUCGAGAG
Molecule: non-coding RNA, 84 nt
Organism: Xylaria sp. FL0933
Lineage: Eukaryota; Fungi; Ascomycota; Sordariomycetes; Xylariales; Xylariaceae
Source: the annotation of a GenBank genome assembly